GCGGAUAUGGUGGAAUUGGCAGACACGCUAGAUUCAGGUUCUGGUGGGAAACCGUGCAGGUUCAAAUCCUGUUAUCCGCA
This 80-nucleotide transfer RNA is filed under the name Clostridium tetanomorphum. It matches the Rfam family "tRNA". From Rfam's summary of the family: Transfer RNA (tRNA) molecules are approximately 80 nucleotides in length. Their secondary structure includes four short double-helical elements and three loops (D, anti-codon, and T loops). The record is from Rfam by way of RNAcentral. Lineage: Bacteria; Bacillati; Bacillota; Clostridia; Eubacteriales; Clostridiaceae.